GAAUAUGAAGUCUUACCGUUAGUGUGUGUGCAGAGGUGUGUCCGGGGGUUUUUACCAGCCAUCAACGGGAUUCAGGCAUCUUCUCUUCGUCCUCUUCACAGAGGCGAGAGCAGGGAGGAAGGCAGAGCAGAACCGAAAGGCCCAGAUGUGCAGCCGCUAGCAAUCACGGAAACCCGAAGAGCUCACCUCCGCAACGACAUGACAUAUCAACUACACUUCAUGCAGUCCACUCCAAGGUUCUCGAAACCACGCAAGGCGCCAGCUUUCACCAUGUUCCUUCAGGAUUCAGCGAUAGAAGCGACAGCGACUACAUGGACAGACAGAUGGACAGAUGGCCGCGCACUGCUGAAUUGACAGGAACGCUGGUGAGCCCUGAAUCAACAG
This is a long non-coding RNA of Brienomyrus brachyistius, 384 nucleotides long. RefSeq lists it as uncharacterized. Lineage: Eukaryota; Metazoa; Chordata; Actinopteri; Osteoglossiformes; Mormyridae. The transcript has 3 exons. The record is from RefSeq and is a predicted model, not a curated record.